GAUGAACGCUGGCGGCGUGCCUAAUACAUGCAAGUCGAGCGAACGGACGAGAGGCUUGCUUCUCUGAUGUUAGCGGCGGACGGGUGAGUAACACGUGGACAACCUACCUAUAAGACUGGGAUAACUUCGGGAAACCGGAGCUAAUACCGGAUAAUAUUUUGAACCGCAUGGUUCAAAAGUGAAAGACGGUCUUGCUGUCACUUAUAGAUGGAUCCGCGCUGCAUUAGCUAGUUGGUAAGGUAACGGCUUACCAAGGCAACGAUGCAUAGCCGACCUGAGAGGGUGAUCGGCCACACUGGAACUGAGACACGGUCCAGACUCCUACGGGAGGCAGCAGUAGGGAAUCUUCCGCAAUGGGCGAAAGCCUGACGGAGCAACGCCGCGUGAGUGAUGAAGGUCUUCGGAUCGUAAAACUCUGUUAUUAGGGAAGAACAUAUGUGUAAGUAACUGUGCACAUCUUGACGGUACCUAAUCAGAAAGCCACGGCUAACUACGUG
RNAcentral lists this ribosomal RNA (497 nucleotides) under uncultured bacterium. Its description in RNAcentral is "partial 16S ribosomal RNA". It matches the Rfam family "Bacterial small subunit ribosomal RNA", at positions 28 to 507 of the family's 1533-position model. The record is from RNAcentral.